Molecule: ribosomal RNA, 497 nt
Filed under: uncultured bacterium
Lineage: Bacteria
Description: partial 16S ribosomal RNA
Rfam family: Bacterial small subunit ribosomal RNA
Source: RNAcentral
GAUGAACGCUGGCGGCGUGCCUAAUACAUGCAAGUCGAGCGAACAGACGAGGAGCUUGCUCCUCUGACGUUAGCGGCGGACGGGUGAGUAACACGUGGAUAACCUACCUAUAAGACUGGGAUAACUUCGGGAAACCGGAGCUAAUGCCGGAUAAUAUAUUGAACCGCAUGGUUCAAUAGUGAAAGACGGUUUUGCUGUCACUUAUAGAUGGAUCCGCGCCGCAUUAGCUAGUUGGUAAGGUAACGGCUUACCAAGGCAACGAUGCGUAGCCGACCUGAGAGGGGGAUCGGACACACUGGAACUGAGACACGGUCCAGACUCCUACGGGAGGCAGCAGUAGGGAAUCUUCCGCAAAGGGCGAAAGCUUGACGGAGCAACGCCGCGUGAGUGAUGAAGGUCUUCGGAUCGGAAAACUCUGUUAUUAGGGAAGAGCAAAUGUGUAAGUAACUAUGCACGUCUUGACGGUACCUAAUCAGAAAGCCACGGCUAACUACGUG